Molecule: ribosomal RNA, 301 nt
Filed under: uncultured bacterium
Lineage: Bacteria
Description: partial 16S ribosomal RNA
Rfam family: Bacterial small subunit ribosomal RNA
Source: RNAcentral
CAGUAGCCGCGGAAUACGGAGGAUCCAAGCGUUAUCCGGAAUCAUUGGGUUUAAAGGGUCCGUAGGCGGUCUUGUAAGUCAGUGGUGAAAGCCCAUCGCUCAACGGUGGAACGGCCAUUGAUACUGCAGGACUUGAAUUAUUGGGAAGUAACUAGAAUAUGUAGUGUAGCGGUGAAAUGCUUAGAGAUUACAUGGAAUACCAAUUGCGAAGGCAGGUUACUACCAAUUGAUUGACGCUGAUGGACGAAAGCGUGGGUAGCGAACAGGAUUAGAUACCCCUGUAGUCCCUGUCUCUUAUACA